Molecule: long non-coding RNA, 319 nt
Filed under: Nicotiana benthamiana
Lineage: Eukaryota; Viridiplantae; Streptophyta; Magnoliopsida; Solanales; Solanaceae
Description: long non-coding RNA (NBEN_LNC005555)
Source: RNAcentral
CCGCAAAAAGCAACCGAAAACCCAAACGAAUUCUAUCUUCAACAGCUUUUUGUAAAUGCAAAAGGAGAAGGAUUUGAGUUUUAUGAAGUUUCAGUGACUAACUCGACUUCAAUCCUUAUUUGAUUAUGUUUUUCCAAAGUUUUGGUUCUAAAUUUGACCUCGAAACUCUUUUCUUUUUUCCUUUUUUUUUGAAUUUCCCCAAGAAAACAAAGACAAAAUUUCUCAGCUCUUUCGUGUGCGUUUUUGCCUUAAUGAAUGAGAGAAUAAGACCAUGAAGGAAAUGGGGUUUUCUGGUUUUUUUUUAGGAAAAUGAAAAUGA